AUUUCGAAUUGGAGCCCUUUUUUUUUUUUUUUUUUUGGCUAAACUUUUUUUUCUUCCCAAAUCAAUUGGGGGACGAAAACUAAAAGCUGCAUUAUACAAAGGCAACACUCAGAAAAUUCCUUCCAUCAAACCCCAAACAACUCGAUUGAAUGAGAUCUCACACUUAACACGCCAGUAUAGAAAUGUUACAAGUCACACCUUGAUAGGGUCAUAUUUCUCACCCAUAACACCACCUUUUUGUUUCUGGAACUGAAUGUACCUAAUUGUGCUGGCAAAGAAAGCACUUGCUGCUGGAUCAGGGGUAGUAGAAUCACUUUGCAUUUCAGUAUUAAUUAAUUCUAUCAAGCUCUGGAUGGCAGAACUAGUAAUCUGUGGGUUUGCUUUUUCAAAGAAGUACAGAUACUUGUUCAAUAUUUCAACAAAGAGUAUAACUGGUCCACCGCUGCCUCUUGUAACAGUGGCCAUUUGCUGUGCGGCGUUUGCAAUCCUCAAGGCACGCUUAAGACAAAGUAGGACCCUUUCUCCAUCCUUGAUGCCAUCCAGAUCAUCAACCCAAAAUAGAUGUGAACAUGCAUAAACUGCUCUGCAUUGAUCAGGUUUCUUCAAAAGCUUUGCAGAAUAUCCAGUGGCCUUGUGUGUUAAGGUAUCCCUGUUCUCUACACCAAAUACAUUCAUCCUCUGGAGAGUACCAAUA
This 694-nucleotide unclassified non-coding RNA is filed under the name Hevea brasiliensis (rubber tree). Lineage: Eukaryota; Viridiplantae; Streptophyta; Magnoliopsida; Malpighiales; Euphorbiaceae. The record is from RNAcentral.